Molecule: long non-coding RNA, 1127 nt
Filed under: Nicotiana tabacum (common tobacco)
Lineage: Eukaryota; Viridiplantae; Streptophyta; Magnoliopsida; Solanales; Solanaceae
Description: long non-coding RNA (NTAB_LNC008595)
Source: RNAcentral
AAGGAGCUUGUUGCAAUACAUUACAAAAAUUGUAAUCAAAAUGAUGAUCGUUGGAGUGAUCACUUUCCAAAAAGGUCGGACUAUAGGACAAUUUGAUUGGACAUGUCGUCUUUACAGAUCUUGGGUAGGGAGUACCUUGUUGAUCAGCCAAAAGAUGUGGUAGCAAAAAACUUGGUGGUUGGGUGAAGAUUGUUGUGUAGUCUCCCACAUAGACAGUGGAACCAUUUUGAGCAAGAGUAUGUGCAACGUAGUUUUGCUCCCUAUAUGUGUGGAUAAUCGGAGGAUACUCAGCUGCAGGAUUAAGUGCCUGCAUUUCAUUAAAGUAGAUGAGUAGUGUAAAUUAUCUUUGUUAAGCAUUGAUAUUAUCAAUCUAAAACACAAAUCUUUAUCAAUCUAAACAAGUCCUACUUCAACCACAAUUUUAUCAAAUACCCAAUACUUGACAUAUCCAGAAGCCAUGGGAUUUCGUUUGUUACCUAUGAUUUCCGGUGCCAAUCAAAUCUACAAAUUGCAGUCUGUUCUUAAAAGGAAUCAUUCAGAUGUUCCUAAAGGACAUUUUGCAGUUUAUGUCGGAGAGAUUGAGAAGAAGCGAUAUGUGGUGCCAAUAAUAUACCUGAACCAUCCUUCGUUCCAGAACUUGUUAUGCAAAGCAGAAGAAGAGUUUGGAUUUCAUCAUCCAACGAGUGGUCUAACAAUACUUUGCAAUGAGAAUGAUUUUGUUGACGUGACUUCUCGAUUGAAUUUAUGAAAUGAAGAACCAAGAAGUAGCAUUCUGAGCUUCAGAUUAGAGCUAGCUUAGAAUUUUCAGUUUUUGUUUUCCACGUUCACUUCUAGUGGUAUGAGUUGAUGAAGACAUGCUAAUUGCAAACCCUAUAAUAAUGCAUUUAAUUCCAUAUAUGUGGAGUUAUCUGUAUCUCUUGUACCCAUGAAGCCUAGUAAACAUUGUCCCAUUGUAUUGCGGAAUACUCCUCUUAUACCAUUUUUAGAUGGAUUACUUUUGGCGGUUCCAUCAGUGUUUAGUUUAAUUUUACCUAGAGGUGGUGGAUGUCAUUUGACAUACAUGUAUGUGCGUGUUGGUGCUGACGCAUUUUGUUUAAUAAGGGAAUGAUAUUCUACUGCUUGUGCUA